Molecule: ribosomal RNA, 253 nt
Filed under: uncultured bacterium
Lineage: Bacteria
Description: partial 16S ribosomal RNA
Rfam family: Bacterial small subunit ribosomal RNA
Source: RNAcentral
UACAGAGGUCUCAAGCGUUGUUCGGAUUCAUUGGGCGUAAAGGGUGCGUAGGCGGCGCCGUAAGUCAGGUGUGAAAUUUCGGAGCUUAACUCCGAAACUGCAUUUGAUACUGCGGUGCUUGAGGACUGGAGAGGAGACUGGAAUUUACGGUGUAGCAGUGAAAUGCGUAGAGAUCGUAAGGAAGACCAGUGGCGAAGGCGGCGAUCUGGGAAGAUACUGACGCUGAGGUGCGAAAGCGUGGGGAGCAAACAGG